Sarcophilus harrisii (Tasmanian devil) is the source of this 1063-nucleotide long non-coding RNA. RefSeq lists it as uncharacterized. NCBI's taxonomy places the organism in Eukaryota, Metazoa, Chordata, Mammalia, Dasyuromorphia, Dasyuridae. The record is from RefSeq and is a predicted model, not a curated record. The transcript is spliced from 3 exons.
UUACAUUCUCGAGAAUGUGAAAUAUACCGCGCGGUGUCAACUCCCCAAAACCAUAAAACUAACUUUAUGGACCUCACGUGACUUUCUCGAGCCAGUGAGGGGUAUCUGUCUGACUUCUCGGCGAUUUUUACGAUCUAACUUCGAGAUAAAACCCCUAUCCAUUUGACAUCUAAAUGUCAUAGCGACUUUUGGGAUAGUUUGCUAACGAUAAAGGAAAAAAAAAUAAAGGGGGGGAGGGAAAAGGGGGGCGAACAGACGCUCCUGGACUCUCGACCGGUCGCCUCCCUAGCUCUCCCUCCCCCCUCCUCCCAAGUCCUGUAAGAAGUUUGGCUAAGAAGGGAGAGAUUGAGCUGGCAAGUUCCCCACCCUUAGAGAGGGUUCCAGCUCCUGCCGCCCUUUUCCGAAUCAGGGCCUCCAGGGAUCUUCCCCAAUCCAGCCUGUUUCCCGUGCCAAGUCCACCUGGACGCUUUGAAAACCCAGCUUCAGAAAAGAAAACUCUACUAGUACAAUUGAGGAGGGGGUGAAGGGGGAUUUGAACCCUCACAAGCUAUUGAGAUAGAUUUAAGAGAAUACAACCGCGUUGGGGACCAUCAGAAACAGAGCUGAGGAAAUGGGGAGCCACUAGGAGCACGGAGGCCCUCCCUGACUGACGCAUUGCGGUUGUCUCCUUGGUCUAAGGAAUCCAGGCUCUAACUGACCUCCUCCUAAAAACCCAAGUCUACUAAUUCCCACUUAGUAUUUGCUUCCUCUUUCCUUACUCUCAUUCCUCCUUUUAUUUUCUUCUUUCUUUUUUUCUUGUUUCUACCCAUUCCUCCUCCGCCCCCCCCCCCACACCCUCCUCCACACACACACACACACACCCUUGCCAAUGGAAACAUAAUGAAAUCAAAUAAAAGAAAUUAAGGCUGAAACAGAGCUUGCUCAGGAAGGCGGUUAAUAAAAGAAAGCUGGUUUGAGGUACUUGAUUUCCCCGUCUAAUUGCCUUCAUUGGUUUUCCUUACUUUGAUGUGGAACAGGAUUUGGUGCUAAUAAAAUAAGGACUUUCGGUCUGCAAUAAACUCAU